RNAcentral lists this ribosomal RNA (303 nucleotides) under uncultured bacterium. RNAcentral's name for it is "partial 16S ribosomal RNA". It matches the Rfam family "Bacterial small subunit ribosomal RNA", at positions 507 to 809 of the family's 1533-position model. The record is from RNAcentral.
AGCAGUAGCCGCGGGAAUACGAAGGGUGCAAGCGUUACUCGGAAUUACUGGGCGUAAAGCGUGCGUAGGUGGUGGUUUAAGUCCGUUGUGAAAGCCCUGGGCUCAACCUGGGAAUUGCAGUGGAUACUGGGUCACUAGAGUGUGGUAGAGGAUAGUGGAAUUUCCGGUGUAGCAGUGAAAUGCGUAGAGAUCGGAAGGAACAUCUGUGGCGAAGGCGACUAUCUGGGCCAACACUGACGCUGAGGCACGAAAGCGUGGGGAGCAAACAGGAUUAGAUACCCGCGUAGUCCCUGUCUCUUAUAA